Molecule: ribosomal RNA, 2583 nt
Filed under: Clostridioides difficile
Lineage: Bacteria; Bacillati; Bacillota; Clostridia; Peptostreptococcales; Peptostreptococcaceae
Description: bacterial LSU rRNA
Rfam family: Bacterial large subunit ribosomal RNA
Source: RNAcentral
UGGUCAAGUUAUUAAGGGUGCAGGGCGGAUGCCUUGGCACUAGGAGCCGAUGAAGGACGUGAUAAGCUGCGAUAAGCUUCGGGGAGUUGCACGUAAACUUUGAUCCGAAGAUUUCCGAAUGAGGAAACUCACUUAGAGUAAUGUCUAAGUAUCAUUAAGUGAAUACAUAGCUUAAUGAGGGGAACUCAGGGAACUGAAACAUCUAAGUACCUGAAGGAAGAGAAAGAAAUUCGAUUCCGUAAGUAGCGGCGAGCGAACGCGGAUUAGCCCAAACCAAUAAAGUUUUCUUUAUUGGGGUUGCGGACAUAUCAUAACGAAGAGGUAUCGUAAUUGAAGAGGUUUGGAAAGACCCACCACAGAAGGUAAUAGUCCUGUAUGUUAAACGAGAAGACUUUAGAUAUGAUCCAGAGUACCACGGGACACGUGAAACCCUGUGGGAAGCAGGAGGGACCACCCUCCAAGGCUAAAUACUACCUAGUGACCGAUAGCGUAUAGUACCGUGAGGGAAAGGUGAAAAGAACCCCGGGAGGGGAGUGAAAUAGAACCUGAAACCCUGCACUUACAAGCUGUGGAAGCACAUUUCUUGUGUGACCGCGUACUUUUUGUAGAACGGGCCAACGAGUUACGUUAAGUAGCAAGGUUAAGCACUUAAGGUGCGGAGCCGUAGCGAAAGCGAGUUUUAACUGAGCGUUCAGUUACUUGACGUAGACCCGAAACCGGGCGACCUACCCAUGAGCAGGAUGAAGCGAAAGUAAAAUUUCGUGGAGGUCCGAACCCACGAGCGUUGAAAAGCUCGGGGAUGACUUGUGGGUAGCGGUGAAAUUCCAAUCGAGCCCGGAGAUAGCUGGUUCUCCCCGAAAUAGCUUUAGGGCUAGCCUCAAGGUGAGAGAUACGGAGGUAGAGCACUGAAUGUCCUAGGGGGUAUUGCACCUACCGAAGACUAUCAAACUCCGAAUGCCGUCAUCUUAUACUUGGGAGUCAGACUGUGGGUGAUAAGAUUCAUAGUCGAAAGGGCAACAGCCCAGAUCGUCAGCUAAGGUCCCUAAAUGUAAGUUAAGUGGUAAAGGAUGUGGGAUUGCACAGACAACCAGGAUGUUGGCUUAGAAGCAGCCACUCAUUCAAAGAGUGCGUAAUAGCUCACUGGUCGAGUGAUCCUGCGCCGAAGAUUUCCGGGGCUAAAACUUACUACCGAAGCUACGGCAUCAGUAAUGAUGGGUAGGGGAGCUUCCCAUACGGGUUGAAGCAUGACCGUAAGGACAUGUGGACAGUAUGGGAGUGAGAAUGUUGGCAUGAGUAGCGAGAUGUGGGUGAGAAUCCCACAGGCCGUAAACCCAAGGUUUCCAGGGGAAGGUUCGUCCGCCCUGGGUUAGUCGGGACCUAAGCUGAGGCCGAAAGGCGUAGGUGAUGGACAACAGGUUGAUAUUCCUGUACUACCGAUAACCGUUUGAGAGAAGGGAUGACACAGUAGGAUAAGCUAAGCACACUGUUGGUUAUGUGUGCCCAAGCAUUGAGGCAGUCAAAGUAGGCAAAUCCGCUUUGAUAAUGCUGGGAUGUGAUGGGGAGCGAAAUUUAGUAGCGAAGUAGCUGAUUUCACACUGUCAAGAAAAGUCUCUAUCGAGGUUAAAGGUACCCGUACCGCAAACCGACACAGGUGGGUGAGGAGAGUAUCCUAAGGCCAGCGAGAGAACUGUUGUUAAGGAACUCGGCAAAAUGACCCCGUAACUUAGGGAUAAGGGGUGCCACCAUCAGGUGGCCGCAGAGAAUAGGCCCAAGCGACUGUUUACCAAAAACAUAGGUUUCUGCUAAGUCGCAAGACGAUGUAUAGGAGCUGACGCCUGCCCGGUGCUGGAAGGUUAAGGGGAUCUGUUAGAGCAAUCGAAGCAGUGAACUUAAGCCCCAGUAAACGGCGGCCGUAACUAUAACGGUCCUAAGGUAGCGAAAUUCCUUGUCGGGUAAGUUCCGACCCGCACGAAAGGCGUAACGAUUUGGGCACUGUCUCAACAACAGACUCGGUGAAAUUGUAAUUCCGGUGAAGAUGCCGGAUACCUGCGACAGGACGGAAAGACCCCAUGGAGCUUUACUGUAGCUUGACAUUGGGUCUUGGUACUACAUGUACAGGAUAGGUGGGAGGCUUUGAAACCAGGACGCCAGUUUUGGCGGAGCCAUCCUUGGGAUACCACCCUUGUAGUACUGGGACUCUAACCAUAGGCCAUGAAUCUGGUCUUGGGACACUGUCAGGUGGGCAGUUUGACUGGGGCGGUCGCCUCCCAAAAGGUAACGGAGGCGCUCAAAGGUUCUCUCAGUACGGUCGGAAAUCGUACGUAGAGUGUAAAGGCAAAAGAGAGCUUGAUUGCAAGACAUACAGGUCGAGCAAGGAUGAAAAUCGGACUUAGUGAUCCGGUGGUUCUGCGUGGAAGGGCCAUCGCUCAACGGAUAAAAGCUACCCUGGGGAUAACAGGCUUAUCUCCCCCAAGAGUCCACAUCGACGGGGAGGUUUGGCACCUCGAUGUCGGCUCAUCACAUCCUGGGGCUGUAGUAGGUCCCAAGGGUUGGGCUGUUCGCCCAUUAAAGUGGUACGCGAGC